This is a long non-coding RNA of Dreissena polymorpha, 2305 nucleotides long. RefSeq lists it as uncharacterized. The record is from RefSeq and is a predicted model, not a curated record. Lineage: Eukaryota; Metazoa; Mollusca; Bivalvia; Myida; Dreissenidae. The transcript has 3 exons.
UGUGUGAUCUUUAAGGGGAGGUUAAUCUAAUUGACCUUCAAUAUGAGAAUUCUCCGGACAGUUUUGCGACAGAAACAAAAAUACACUGGUUAUGAAUUUGACCAGCGUGAUGCUAAAUUUGGUUGGAGUACAACACGAACAGUUUUGGGCAUCUGUGCAGUUUCAAUGGUAUUCUCUUACUACUUGACAGUCUUCAAACCAAAGAAGAGGAAAGAACUGGAAGAGGCAGAACUGGCUGAUUCAAAAUAGAGGCGUUUUGGUAUCCAACAGUUUCAACCAUUGUACAACAGAGCUGACAUACAGACUUGUGGAACUUUGUGAAUGGUGAUGAGUAUAAAAUUUCAUGAGGGAUAGUGCAGGACACUCGAUAUCAGAUGAAGUCCCUUCCAUUCUUCCGGAAAUAGUUAAUAUAAUGUUUCAAUGCAAUAAAACAUUCUUGAGGUUCUUGAUGUUCAUAGAAUAACUUGUUGUAUAAAUAAGGCAUAUUAGUAAAUGUUUAUUGAUAUGGGAAAAUUUUCAGCUUUUUCAUUUUUUUGCAAGCUAAACUAAAUUGAAAUAUAAUGUUAUUAUAUGGUAUUAUAUGGUAUUAAACCAAAUUGCAAAGUUCAAGUCAGACAUUUUUAGACAGCUAGAACUGAUCACAAUUACAUGUUAUCCAAUACAUGCACACAUUAGACACAUAAUACAUUUCUUUUGAAUACAAUAACACACACAUAUUUGGUGGGUUUUAUUUUCAAAAUAAACACUAUCAUGUAAACAACUUAAAUUGCAAGUAAUCAUGAAAUUACGUUUUGUUCUUAUCUAAAUUGUUUCGGUUGCAUACACUGUUUAAACACAUUUACAUCAAAGAAAGCUCUUGUUAUCAUCCUAGGUUCUGCAUCCAAUGUCUUUCAAGUAGGUCGUCAACUUUUAGCUCAGUACCACUCCAAUUAUGAUGAUUUUUGGUCAGUUUUUAAUCAUGGCAAUAUCUAGCCCAAGGUCAAAACUGGGUCAGAAAAAACUUUUUACAACUGUAAGGGCUACAUUUAUUGCUCAAUCGUGAUAACAUUUCUAAUCUCGAAUUUAACUCAAGGUCAUGUUCGCAAGAAAAAUAGGUCACCAGUUUAAAUCUUACAAAAACCUUGUUUCCACUCUAGAGGCCACAUUUAUUACUCAAUAUUGAUGUAACAUUGUCAGUAUAUUUAUGUUGACAAUAAAAACCCUGUUUGAAUUUGGUUCAUUUGUGUCCAAAUACUAGGUCAUCAGGUCAAAUCUUAGAAACAUCGUGUAACCACUCUGAAGGCCAAAUUUUUUACUCUCAGAAUUUAUAUCUUUACAAUACCAAGGCAAUAUAUGAAUCUAUGUCAAGUUUGGUUAAAGUCUAUUUCACCUAGUCAAUUCUUCAACAAUUUGCGUACCUUCAACACGGAAGAGUGUUUCAGGGCCAUAAUUGCCCUUUUGUUCACGUGUUUUACCGAUCAGUGGGGAAAUGUGAUUGUAAAUGCCUUGUGGUGCUCAAGUUGGAUUUCUGAUGGUGUAGCAUUUGAUAGAGAUUUUACAAAGUCUCCAAAAGUACUGAUGGUACCAAGGAAACAUUUAUACAUCGCAGGGGGCACCUAUUUAGGCAUAUUUCUCUUGUAAGAUUGUUCAAGGUAUUUCUUUGGCUAAGAAACUUCAUGACACACAACGAUGCAUGGCUUAUAAGUGCUAUCUGAAAUCAGAUAAGGAAACCUAAAAAAGAGUCUAAAAUGGCUCAUAGAGUUAUGAAAACAACACAUGCUUUCAAAGAAGGGCUAUUAUCAUUUUUCUAGAUGAUUUAAUUUCAAAAAUAUAUUUCUUUAGCCCCCCCCCCCAGCUCAAAAAUCCAUACGUUAGACAUGUGUAUAAACAUGGUACACCAUGGGUCAAUUGUAUAUUGUUACCUUUUUCGCAGUGGCAUGUGUCAGUUUUAUGGAUUCGUCGAUAAAAGUAACAUCCUAGAUUGAUACUCGUUUACCAAUAUCAUAUGUUAUAUUAAUUCAAAAAUAUGAGUGUUGGUACAUAAGGUGAUCAAUUUAGAAAUGUUACAAAUAUACUAGUAUGCUUAAAUAUAUGAAUUUUAUAGUUUUAGCAUUCCCGCCGUGAUUAGGGGGAAAAUAUGUUUCAAUAUUUUAGACCAUUUCCAUGAUUGUAAUAAACAUAUAUUGAAAUGACACACUGACCGGCGAAAUAAUGAAACUGUGAUUGUUUAUCAUUUUAUAUUGUCAUCAAAUGUUAUUAUUCUUGUUAACAUAUUCUUGUUAACAAUGUGCAUUUUUCAUGUUCUGAAAUAUAGUAAAAAAAACUA